GUGCAUGCUUUGCUGUUGCAAUGACUGUAGAGUGAUUUCUUUGUUAAUGUUGUUGUGGUUUCAUCCAAUACUCUAUCUA
Long non-coding RNA from Bradysia coprophila, 79 nucleotides. NCBI's taxonomy places the organism in Eukaryota, Metazoa, Arthropoda, Insecta, Diptera, Sciaridae. The record is from RefSeq and is a predicted model, not a curated record.